RNAcentral lists this ribosomal RNA (445 nucleotides) under uncultured bacterium. Its description in RNAcentral is "partial 16S ribosomal RNA". It matches the Rfam family "Bacterial small subunit ribosomal RNA", at positions 354 to 796 of the family's 1533-position model. The record is from RNAcentral.
GUGAGGAAUAUUGGACAAUGGGCGCAAGCCUGAUCCAGCCAUGCCGCGUGCAGGAAGACGCAUCUAUGGUGUGUAAACUGCUUUUGUACGGGAAGAAACACUCCCUCGUGAGGGAGCUUGACGGUACCGUAAGAAUAAGGAUCGGCUAACUCCGUGCCAGCAGCCGCGGUAAUACGGAGGAUCCAAGCGUUAUCCGGAAUCAUUGGGUUUAAAGGGUCCGUAGGCGGUUUAAUAAGUCAGUGGUGAAAGCCCAUCGCUCAACGAUGGAACGGCCAUUGAUACUGUUAGACUUGAAUUACAAGGAAGUAACUAGAAUAUGUAGUGUAGCGGUGAAAUGCUUAUAUAUUACAUGGAAUACCAAUUGCGAAGGCAGGUUACUACUUGUGGAUUGACGCUGAUGGACGAAAGCGUGGGGAGCGAACAGGAUUAGAUACCCGGGUAGUCC